AGUGAACGCUGGCGGUAGGCCUAACACAUGCAAGUCGAACGGCAGCACAGUAAGAGCUUGCUCUUACGGGUGGCGAGUGGCGGACGGGUGAGGAAUACAUCGGAAUCUACUUUUUCGUGGGGGAUAACGUAGGGAAACUUACGCUAAUACCGCAUACGACCUACGGGUGAAAGCAGGGGAUAUUCGGACCUUGUGCGAUUGAAUGAGCCGAUGUCGGAUUAGCUAGUUGGCGGGGUAAAGGCCCACCAAGGCGACGAUCCGUAGCUGGUCUGAGAGGAUGAGCAGCCACAGUGGAACUGAGACACGGUCCAGACACCUACGGGAGGCAGCAGUGGGGAAUGUUGGACAAUGGGCGCAAGCCUAAUCCAGCCAUACCGCGUGGGUGAAGAAGGCCUUCGGGUUGUAAAGCCCUUUUGUUGGGAAAGAAAAGCAGCAGGUUAAUACCCCGCUGUGCUGACGGUACCCAAAGAAUAAGCACCGGCUAACU
RNAcentral lists this ribosomal RNA (487 nucleotides) under uncultured bacterium. Its description in RNAcentral is "partial 16S ribosomal RNA". It matches the Rfam family "Bacterial small subunit ribosomal RNA", at positions 29 to 502 of the family's 1533-position model. The record is from RNAcentral.